UGCCAGCCGCCGCGGUAAUACGGAGGGUGCAAGCGUUAAUCGGAAUUACUGGGCGUAAAGCGCGCGUAGGCGGUUUUGUAAGUCGGAUGUGAAAGCCCAGGGCUCAACCCUGGAAUUGCAUUCGAUACUGCAUAACUAGAGUAUGGUAGAGGGAAGUGGAAUUUCCGGUGUAGCGGUGAAAUGCGUAGAUAUCUGGAGGAACAUCAGUGGCGAGGGCGGCUCCCUGGCCAAAGACUGACGCUCGUGUGCGAAAGUGUGGGUAGCGAACAGGAUUAGAUA
This 279-nucleotide ribosomal RNA is filed under the name uncultured bacterium. Its description in RNAcentral is "partial 16S ribosomal RNA". It matches the Rfam family "Bacterial small subunit ribosomal RNA", at positions 506 to 784 of the family's 1533-position model. The record is from RNAcentral.